This 73-nucleotide transfer RNA is filed under the name Cronartium ribicola 11-2. Its description in RNAcentral is "tRNA-Val (GAC) (tRNA-Val-GAC-79-1)". It matches the Rfam family "tRNA". Rfam says of the family: Transfer RNA (tRNA) molecules are approximately 80 nucleotides in length. Their secondary structure includes four short double-helical elements and three loops (D, anti-codon, and T loops). The record is from RNAcentral. Lineage: Eukaryota; Fungi; Basidiomycota; Pucciniomycetes; Pucciniales; Coleosporiaceae.
GACUGGAUAGUCUAGCAGUAAAGGAAUCACAUUGACAAUGCUAAGGUCCCAGGUUUAAAUCCUGGUCUAGUCA